UUUUAGUAUAAGUUAUCAAAUUAUAGCUACUCUGAUUUGAUAAAAGAUCUAAUCUAGCUCAUUUCAUUAUAUGUAAUAAUUAGUACUAACAACCAUUGUGGCUGAUUUGUAGAAAGGAUUGUUACUAUACCAAUAAAAAUCCAAGCACACCAAAGCAACUAACUAUAAGCAAAGGCUGUUGAUUUAAUCUCAAAAAGAUCAUAGAGCCUGUCGAAAUGACUUUCAUAAAUUAAGUAAAAUGAGAUUUUAACUCUGCUCAAGCCAACCUAAUUUUACAAAAAUAAUAAUUCUAUCAACUGUCUUUUGCUGCUAAUAAAGCUGCUCAUGUAAAAAAUAACUACUCAAAUUAAAGCUAUAACCUUCAUAAGGUAAUAAUAUAAACUUGUUUCAGCAUUCAGCAUGACCUUUUUGUGUGUUUAAC
This 421-nucleotide small RNA is filed under the name Francisella tularensis subsp. tularensis TI0902. RNAcentral describes it as "intron-gp-1". The record is from RNAcentral. Lineage: Bacteria; Pseudomonadati; Pseudomonadota; Gammaproteobacteria; Thiotrichales; Francisellaceae.